Molecule: long non-coding RNA, 547 nt
Organism: Neltuma alba
Lineage: Eukaryota; Viridiplantae; Streptophyta; Magnoliopsida; Fabales; Fabaceae
Exons: 2
Source: RefSeq, a predicted model, not a curated record
UCAUGUGAAUUAUGAAGAUCCUCCCUUCAAUGUGGGCUCGCCAGUUUUCAGCAUUCAUGGAAAUCACGAUGAUCCAGCAGGCGUGUAAAUCAGACUUAGUUAUGUACAAGCCCAAGGAGAAGGGAAAAUUGCAGAGAAAGACAUCAUCGUGGUCAGCGAGAAGUAUGACUGGCUGGAUGUUGGGAAAUUAGGGAAAAUAACACUUCCUAAUCUCAUGGAGGUUCAUCCUUGUUAAUAUAAGAACCUGAGAAUGGUCAUCCAAAGUGGCAGAAAAUUCGGUCUCUACUAACAUGAUCAGUUGAAGAGGAGGAAUAUCAUGUUGUCUAGUUUCUUGCUGUUGCUCAUUCCCUGACCCCUUGAUCAAUUAUCAUUGAGGUAAGGCAUAUAUGUUGAAGGUGAAUGCAGCACAAGAAACCAUAUACAUUUUAUGUCACGUUUUUUCUUUUGGCCUGUGUAAUUUGGCAAGUUGGUUGGAUCAGUAUACAAGUACUCAUCUUGCUGGAGUUCAGAGUUGAAAAUAUAACAUGACGAGACUAUGAUUCUUACA